CCUACGGGAGGCAGCAGUGGGGAAUAUUGGACAAUGGGCGCAAGCCUGAUCCAGCCAUACCGCGUGGGUGAAGAAGGCUUUUGGGUUGUAAAACCCUUUUGUUGGGAAAGAAAAGCAGCGGGCUAAUACCUUGCUGUUCUGACGGUACCCAAAGAAUAAGCACCGGCUAACUUCGUGCCAGCAGCCGCGGUAAUACGAAGGGUGCCAGCGUUACUUGGAAUUACUGGGCGUAAAGCGUGCGUAGGUGGUUGUUUAAGUCUGUUGUGAAAACCCUGGGCUCAACCUGGGAACUGCAGUGGAAACUGGAUGACUAGAGUGUGGUAGAGGGUAGCGGAAUUCCCGGUGUAGCAGUGAAAUGCGUAGAGAUCGGGAGGAACAUCCAUGGCGAAGGCAGCUACCUGGACCAACACUGACACUGAGGCACGAAAGCGUGGGGAGCAAACAGGAUUAGAUACCCUGGUAGUCCACGCCCUAAACGAUGCUAACUGGAUGUUGGGUGCACUUUGGCACGCAGUAUCGAAGCUAACGCGUUAAGU
This 536-nucleotide ribosomal RNA is filed under the name Stenotrophomonas sp. APH3. Its description in RNAcentral is "bacterial SSU rRNA". It matches the Rfam family "Bacterial small subunit ribosomal RNA", at positions 338 to 865 of the family's 1533-position model. The record is from RNAcentral. Lineage: Bacteria; Pseudomonadati; Pseudomonadota; Gammaproteobacteria; Lysobacterales; Lysobacteraceae.